CUUCGGCUAAUACGAUGAGCGA
RNAcentral lists this small nuclear RNA (22 nucleotides) under Arabidopsis thaliana (thale cress). RNAcentral describes it as "snRNA_10564". Lineage: Eukaryota; Viridiplantae; Streptophyta; Magnoliopsida; Brassicales; Brassicaceae. The record is from RNAcentral.